AACUUUCACUUCUAUUUCUCAAAAUUCCCAAAUUUCCCCCUCCGAUUCCCCAUUUCCGGCGACUCCCGCUGCGUGCUCCCCUCCGGCGACUCGUCCACGCCGCCGUUUCCACCGCGCCCCUGCUCGCCCCGCCUCGCUCCGCCGCCGCCCUAAGCCGAGCCUCGCCCCGCCCCGCGCCGCUCCCCCCCUGCGCUGCUGCCCGCCCCGCCCUGCGCCGCUGCCCGCCCCACGCCGCGCCGCUGCUCGCCCCGCCCCUCCCUGGCGCCGUGUCCUCUGCUGCCAGCGCCGGAUUCCUCCGCCGCCACCGGUCCUCCUCCUCCGCGGCCACCGGUCCUCUUCCUCCGCUGCCUGCGUCUGUCGGAUU
RNAcentral lists this long non-coding RNA (364 nucleotides) under Salvia miltiorrhiza (redroot sage). Its description in RNAcentral is "long non-coding RNA (SMIL_LNC006946)". Lineage: Eukaryota; Viridiplantae; Streptophyta; Magnoliopsida; Lamiales; Lamiaceae. The record is from RNAcentral.